Molecule: long non-coding RNA, 1141 nt
Organism: Bactrocera neohumeralis
Lineage: Eukaryota; Metazoa; Arthropoda; Insecta; Diptera; Tephritidae
Exons: 4
Source: RefSeq, a predicted model, not a curated record
GGCAAUUGAUACUCUGUAUUGCUUACGCAUCACUAACAAUGUUGUUCACCUUUGCUUUUUUUUCUUUUUAUGUAAUAGUUGGCAUUACUUCCAAAAAUGUCAAAGUAUAAACGAGCAAAAUAAAGAAAAUAAUAAUAAUUUGUUCGUUAAAACUGUGUUGAAUAAUUUAAAAUGAAUUCUGUGGCAUUACGUUCUCAGGGAAGAAUUGAUAGAAGAAUUAUUUGAGAUAAUUCUGACAUUAUGUCUCUAAGCGAUAAAAGGACCACAUCAAUUCCAGAAAUUGUAGAACUGUCAACAACCUUGAAGUUCCUCGCACAGGGCGGGUAUCAACACUCGGUCGGCCAAAAUAGGCAUUCAGGGCUAGCCCAACAAUCGGUUUCCCGAUGCAUCUUGGAAGUGUGCGAUGCCAUCGAGAAAACUCUGUGCCCAAAGCAUAUCGUGUUUCCCUUGACCAUUGAGGAAAAAAUUGAAGCAAAUAGAACCUUUUACUUGACGUCCGGAAUUCCAGGCGUAAUUUGAGUGAUUGAUGGGACGCACAUCCAGUUGAUACGACCAUCACGGAAUGAACACUUAUUUUUUAAUCGUAAACUAAAACACAGCAUAAAUGCAAUGGUGAUAUGUGAUCACAAAAUGCAGAUAAGGGCAGUAAAUGGUAGAUUUGGAGGCGCGUCGCAUAACUCCCACGUAUGGAACCUCUCAGGAGAACGACGAAAAUGGAAAUAGAAGCGAACGAAUUCUUGGAGACUCCGGAUAUCCUCUUGAACCUUGGCUGCUAACACCAUAUAGGAAUGCGCCAGAACGUUCUGAUGAACUCUAUUUCAACCAACAGUUUACAAAAGGCCGAUCACUAAUUCAACGCGUGUUUGGUGUAUUGAAAGGGAGAUUGCGAUGCUUGUUAUCUGCAAGAGAGCUACAUUACGCGCCUGAAAAAGUCGUUAAAAUUUUGAACGUAUGCUGCGCUCUACACAAUAUAUGCAUUUUGUACAAGGUAGAAGUACCAAUUAAUAUUACACUUGAGCCCAGAAGAAUUUUCACCACUAAUAUAAAUUUACCUAAUAGUGGUAAUUUUAUUACUAUUGCUAGAAACAUUAAGGACGAUAUUAAAACAAAUAUGAUAAAUGCUCGUAACUCAACUUAAUUA